Molecule: non-coding RNA, 178 nt
Filed under: Ureibacillus sinduriensis
Lineage: Bacteria; Bacillati; Bacillota; Bacilli; Caryophanales; Caryophanaceae
Also listed under: 1 other name
Source: RNAcentral
UAUUCGAAAAAUUUAUUAAGUGCUCAUAUUCAAAAAUGAGGUAAAAGGGAAAUCAGUGAAAUUCUGGUACAGCCCCCGCUACUGUAAGGCAGAUGAACCCACAAUACCACCAGUUCAGGGAAGGUGUGGCAGUAAGGUGAAGCCGAGUCAGGAAACCUGCUUAAUAAAGAUAGUUAGA